ACGCUCGCAUCACACCCGGGCGCCGAUCGCCACCAUCAGCACCGCCGGCGGCAGCACCCUCCUCCUUUGCAUCAUCGCCGCCGCCGCAGCUGUCAGGAGGACGCGCGGGCAGUCGGCGCGCAGGCGGCGGCGGGCGCGGGGCGAGCCCCGGGGUGCCCCGAGCCGGGGACGGGGCCAGGCGGCGGGCGCAGCGAGGCCGGGGCCAGUCCAGACCGACGGCAGCGACGGAGCGGGCGGCGGCGGCGGCGGCGGCGGCGGCGGCGGCUGGGGCUCGCUCAGUCCCCAGUUUCAUACACCACGAGCAGCAGGUCGGAGCAGCCUCCCCGGGAGGACGUCCAGCAGCAGCCCUCCUCUCUCCAACCCUUGGGGAUCUUCCGCUGAGGCAUUGAAGACAGGAGGAAAGGGUCUCAGGCUGGGAGAAAAGGCAGGUGUGCGCCGAAGGCAAAGGCGGCAGGAAAAGUUUCGCGGUUUACCACCUGGCCUGAUGUGGAGGUCGCCCCCACCAAACUGCUCCUGCACAGACCCGGGCUUCUUGCAGUUUGCCUUCAUCCUCCCCAAGAUAUUUGAAACCCCCAAGGCAAACACAGAUCACCUACCACCUCAACAUGGAGAAACGCGCGCACGCAGGGCGUUAAACUUAGGGGAGAAAAGACAGUUGCUGGGAAACAGCCCCGGAAAAGCUCCGGCUUGUAAAAUGCGAAUAAAUGAAUCCGAAAGCACAGUAAACGCGGGGCUGGCGAUGCUGGGCAGAAGCGCGCGGGGGUUGGGGGGAGGCCCUCUCUGGACUCUGCGGCAGCACUCCUCCCCGCCCGCCUCCGGCCCGCCUUCCCAGGCAGCUGCGGACCUGCCCGUGCCCACCAGCUGCCAACCGGACCUUUGGACCACGCAGAGGCCGUCGAGCCUCGGCGGCGGCCUCUGCGAUCCCGGACCCUAGGGGCACUCAGCCGCAAAACCUCCCCCUCUCGCUGCACAGCCCAGACGCGGGCUCUGUUGGGGAGGAUGGCGGUGAGGAGAUGGGGGUAGGAGGGACUAAAGGAGGUAGAAGCGGAGGGACGCUUUGCUGCUAAAACUAGCGUCACCUCAGAUGGCCGAGGAGAAAGGAAAGGGCCGUGAGA
RNAcentral lists this long non-coding RNA (1115 nucleotides) under Equus asinus (donkey). RNAcentral's name for it is "lncRNA (ENSEASG00005030879.1)". Lineage: Eukaryota; Metazoa; Chordata; Mammalia; Perissodactyla; Equidae. The record is from RNAcentral.